CCGUUCGGCGGAAGCGUCGUUC
This 22-nucleotide small nuclear RNA is filed under the name Arabidopsis thaliana (thale cress). RNAcentral's name for it is "snRNA_01322". Lineage: Eukaryota; Viridiplantae; Streptophyta; Magnoliopsida; Brassicales; Brassicaceae. The record is from RNAcentral.